CAGUAGCCGCGGUAAUACAGAGGGUGCGAGCGUUAAUCGGAUUUACUGGGCGUAAAGCGUGCGUAGGCGGCUAAUUGAGUCGGAUGUGAAAUCCCCGAGCUUAACUUGGGAAUUGCAUUCGAUACUGGUUAGCUAGAGUGUGGGAGAGGAUGGUAGAAUUCCAGGUGUAGCGGUGAAAUGCGUAGAGAUCUGGAGGAAUACCGAUGGCGAAGGCAGCCAUCUGGCCUAACACUGACGCUGAGGUACGAAAGCAUGGGGAGCAAACAGGAUUAGAUACCCGUGUAGUCCCUGUCUCUUAUAU
Molecule: ribosomal RNA, 301 nt
Filed under: uncultured bacterium
Lineage: Bacteria
Description: partial 16S ribosomal RNA
Rfam family: Bacterial small subunit ribosomal RNA
Source: RNAcentral